UUCUGGUUGAUCCUGGCGGAGGCUACUGCUAUUGGGAUUCGAUUAAGCCAUGCGAGUUGAAUGAAUUUAGAUUCAUGGCGUACGGCUCAGUAACACGUGGAUAACUUACCCUUAGGACUGGGAUAACUCUGGGAAACUGGGGAUAAUACCGGAUAUUAGGCUAUGGCUGGAAUGCUUUGCCUUUGAAAUGUUUCUUGUAUUCGCCUAAGGAUAGAUCUGCGGCUGAUUAGGUCGUUGGUGGGGUAAUGGCCCACCAAGCCUAUGAUCGGUACGGGUUGUGAGAGCAAGAGCCCGGAGAUGGAACCUGAGACAAGGUUCCAGACCCUACGGGGUGCAGCAGGCGCGAAACCUCCGCAAUGUACGAAAGUGCGACGGGGGGAUCCCAAGUGUUAUUCUUAAUAGGAUAACUUUUCAUUAGUGUAAAAAGCUUUUAGAAAUAGAGCUGGGCAAG
Molecule: ribosomal RNA, 451 nt
Filed under: uncultured rumen archaeon
Lineage: Archaea
Description: bacterial SSU rRNA
Rfam family: Archaeal small subunit ribosomal RNA
Source: RNAcentral